UACGUAGGGGGCCAGCGUUGUCCGGAAUCAUUGGGCGUAAAGCGCACGUAGGCGGCCCGGUAAGUCCGCUGUGAAAGUCGGGGGCUCAACCCUCGAAAGCCGGUGGAUACUGUCGGGCUCGAGUACGGAAGAGGCGAGUGGAAUUCCUGGUGUAGCGGUGAAAUGCGCAGAUAUCAGGAGGAACACCAAUUGCGAAGGCAGCUCGCUGGGACGUUACUGACGCUGAGACGCGAAAGCGUGGGGAGCAAACAGG
RNAcentral lists this ribosomal RNA (253 nucleotides) under uncultured bacterium. RNAcentral's name for it is "partial 16S ribosomal RNA". It matches the Rfam family "Bacterial small subunit ribosomal RNA", at positions 524 to 776 of the family's 1533-position model. The record is from RNAcentral.